UCCGUCCGUCCGUCCGCCUGUCCGUCUGCCUGCCUGUCCGUCUGUCUGUCCGCCUGCUUGUGUGUCUGUCCGCCUGCCUGUCUGUCUGUCCGCCUGCCUGCCCGUCCGUCUGUCCAUCCUAAUGGCUGCGUCCGUCCGUCCGUCCGUCUCUCCGUUUGUCCUAAUGGCUACGUGUCCGUCUGUCUGUCCAUCUGUCCUAAUGGCUGUCCGUCUGUCUGUCCCCGUAGCCCUCUGUCCCCACAGCUGUGUGUCCCCACGGCUGUCCGUGUGUCCGUCUGUCCCCCCGUCUGUCCCGCUGUCCCCUCACGGCGUCCCAUCCCGACGUCCCCGUGUCCUGUUGUGUCCCCACGUCUGUCCUCAUGUCCCACAGCUGCCCCAUAGCAGCACCCCAGAGCUGCCCCACAUCCCUGCCCCACAUCUGCCCCAUAUCUGCCCCACAUCCCUGCCCCACAUCCCUGCCC
Molecule: long non-coding RNA, 461 nt
Filed under: Phasianus colchicus (ring-necked pheasant)
Lineage: Eukaryota; Metazoa; Chordata; Aves; Galliformes; Phasianidae
Description: lncRNA (ENSPCLG00000016526.1)
Source: RNAcentral